GGCUUAACACAUGCAAGUCGAGGGGCAGCAUGGUCCUUUCUUGCUAAGGCCGAUGGCGACCGGCGCACGGGUGAGUAACACGUAUCCAACCUGCCGUCUACUCUUGGACAGCCUUCUGAAAGGAAGAUUAAUACAAGAUGGCAUCAUGAGUCCGCAUGUUCACAUGAUUAAAGGUAUUCCGGUAGACGAUGGGGAUGCGUUCCAUUAGAUAGUAGGCGGGGUAACGGCCCACCUAGUCUUCGAUGGAUAGGGGUUCUGAGAGGAAGGUCCCCCACAUUGGAACUGAGACACGGUCCAAACUCCUACGGGAGGCAGCAGUGAGGAAUAUUGGUCAAUGGGCGAGAGCCUGAACCAGCCAAGUAGCGUGAAGGAUGACUGCCCUAUGGGUUGUAAACUUCUUUUAUAAAGGAAUAAAGUCGGGUAUGGAUACCCGUUUGCAUGUACUUUAUGAAUAAGGAUCGGCUAACUCCGUGCCAGCAGCCGCGGUAAUACGGAGGAUCCGAGCGUUAUCCGGAUUUAUUGGGUUUAAAGGGAGCGUAGAUGGAUGUUUAAGUCAGUUGUGAAAGUUUGCGGCUCAACCGUAAAAUUGCAGUUGAUACUGGAUAUCUUGAGUGCAGUUGAGGCAGGCGGAAUUCGUGGUGUAGCGGUGAAAUGCUUAGAUAUCACGAAGAACUCCGAUUGCGAAGGCAGCCUGCUAAGCUGCAACUGACAUUGAGGCUCGAAAGUGUGGGUAUCAAACAGGAUUAGAUACCCUGGUAGUCCACACGGUAAACGAUGAAUACUCGCUGUUUGCGAUAUACAGCAAGCGGCCAAGCGAAAGCGUUAAGUAUUCCACCUGGGGAGUACGCCGGCAACGGUGAAACUCAAAGGAAUUGACGGGGGCCCGCACAAGCGGAGGAACAUGUGGUUUAAUUCGAUGAUACGCGAGGAACCUUACCCGGGCUUAAAUUGCAGAUGAAUUACGGUGAAAGCCGUAAGCCGCAAGGCAUCUGUGAAGGUGCUGCAUGGUUGUCGUCAGCUCGUGCCGUGAGGUGUCGGCUUAAGUGCCAUAACGAGCGCAACCCUUGUUGUCAGUUACUAACAGGUUCCGCUGAGGACUCUGACAAGACUGCCAUCGUAAGAUGUGAGGAAGGUGGGGAUGACGUCAAAUCAGCACGGCCCUUACGUCCGGGGCUACACACGUGUUACAAUGGGGGGUACAGAGGGCCGCUACCACGCGAGUGGAUGCCAAUCCCAAAAACCUCUCUCAGUUCGGACUGGAGUCUGCAACCCGACUCCACGAAGCUGGAUUCGCUAGUAAUCGCGCAUCAGCCACGGCGCGGUGAAUACGUUCCCGGGCCUUGUACACACCGCCCGUCAAGCCAUGGGAGCCGGGGGUACCUGAAGUGCGUAACCGCGAGGAGCGCCCUAGGGUAAAACUGGUGACUGGGGCUAA
RNAcentral lists this ribosomal RNA (1435 nucleotides) under uncultured bacterium. Its description in RNAcentral is "bacterial SSU rRNA". It matches the Rfam family "Bacterial small subunit ribosomal RNA". The record is from RNAcentral.